UGGGGAAUCUUGGACAAUGGGGGCAACCCUGAUCCAGCCAUGCCGCGUGGGUGAAGAAGGCCUUAGGGUUGUAAAGCCCUUUCAGUCGUGACGAUGAUGACGGUAGCGACAGAAGAAGCCCCGGCUAACUCCGUGCCAGCAGCCGCGGUAAUACGGAGGGGGCAAGCGUUGUUCGGAUUUACUGGGCGUAAAGGGCGCGUAGGCGGACGGUCAAGUCAGAGGUGAAAGGCCCGGGCUCAACCUGGGACGUGCCUUUGAUACUGGAAGUCUUGUGUUCGAGAGAGGUGAGUGGAAUACCGAGUGUAGAGGUGAAAUUCGUAGAUAUUCGGUGGAACACCAGUGGCGAAGGCGGCUCACUGGCUCGAUACUGACGCUGAGGUGCGAAAGCGUGGGGAGCAAACAGGAUUAGAUACCCCUGUAGUCC
Molecule: ribosomal RNA, 424 nt
Filed under: uncultured prokaryote
Description: bacterial SSU rRNA
Rfam family: Bacterial small subunit ribosomal RNA
Source: RNAcentral